GGACUACAGGGGUUUCUAAUCCUGUUCGCUCCCCAUGCUUUCGCUCCUCAGCGUCAGUUACAGCCCAGAGACCUGCCUUCGCCAUCGGUGUUCCUCCUGAUAUCUGCGCAUUCCACCGCUACACCAGGAAUUCCAGUCUCCCCUACUGCACUCUAGUCUGCCCGUACCCACCGCAGAUCCGGGGUUAAGCCCCGGACUUUCACGACAGACGCGACAAACCGCCUACGAGCUCUUUACGCCCAAUAAUUCCGGAUAACGCUCGCACCCUACGUAUUACCGCGGCGGCUGGCACG
Molecule: unclassified non-coding RNA, 293 nt
Filed under: uncultured Micrococcaceae bacterium
Lineage: Bacteria; Bacillati; Actinomycetota; Actinomycetes; Micrococcales; Micrococcaceae
Description: contains 16S-23S intergenic spacer region
Source: RNAcentral